GGAUAUGAGGGCAAUCUAGCUGAGAUGUCACCCCGUUGACCACCAGGAUUGAAUUGGCUGAUCUGGCUGGGUGUCCCCUUCCUCCCUCAUCACUCCAUGUGCAUCCCUCCCAAAGCUGCACACUAGGUCAAAGAGGACUACCUUUCCUGAAUAGAGGAGGACCAAUCUUUGGUCAAGGGUAAAUGAGCAUCUGUCCUCCUCUGCUAGAACCUCCAAACAAACUCUCAAAUACAUUGGCUGACCAUCAGAUAGGCAGGUUGCAGCAAAGCAGGGAAAUCUCCACCAUAGGUUUUAGAUGUUAUCAGAUGACAUUCUUA
RNAcentral lists this small nuclear RNA (317 nucleotides) under Jaculus jaculus (lesser Egyptian jerboa). RNAcentral's name for it is "7SK RNA (ENSJJAG00000008964.1)". It matches the Rfam family "7SK RNA". From Rfam's summary of the family: 7SK was discovered as an abundant small nuclear RNA in the mid-70s but a possible function has only recently been suggested. Two independent studies have found that 7SK RNA binds the CDK9/cyclin T complex (known as elongation factor P-TEFb). The record is from Rfam by way of RNAcentral. Lineage: Eukaryota; Metazoa; Chordata; Mammalia; Rodentia; Dipodidae.